RNAcentral lists this ribosomal RNA (101 nucleotides) under uncultured bacterium. RNAcentral's name for it is "partial 16S ribosomal RNA". It matches the Rfam family "Bacterial small subunit ribosomal RNA", at positions 410 to 528 of the family's 1533-position model. The record is from RNAcentral.
GAAGGUCUUAGGAUUGUAAAAUUCUUUCACCGGGGACGAUAAUGACGGUACCCGGAGAAGAAGCCCCGGCUAACUUCGUGCCAGCAGCCGCGGUAAUAAAA